UACGAAGGGUGCAAACGUUGCUCGGAAUUACUGGGCGUAAAGCGCACGUAGGCGGACAUUUAAGUCAGGGGUGAAAUCCCAGAGCUCAACUCUGGAACUGCCUUUGAUACUGGGUGUCUUGAGUAUGGAAGAGGUGAGUGGAAUUCCGAGUGUAGAGGUGAAAUUCGUAGAUAUUCGGAGGAACACCAGUGGCGAAGGCGGCUCACUGGUCCAUUACUGACGCUGAGGUGCGAAAGCGUGGGGAGCAAACAGG
Molecule: ribosomal RNA, 253 nt
Filed under: uncultured bacterium
Lineage: Bacteria
Description: partial 16S ribosomal RNA
Rfam family: Bacterial small subunit ribosomal RNA
Source: RNAcentral